UGUAGGUGUUCCUAGGUUUAAAAGGGAGGCCCUCCCCCAUUGACCCAGGUCUGAUGCUGUUGUAAUCGGUUAUAGGGGCCUGGUAAUCGCUUACCAGUGGCAAAAUCCCCUAUUGUACCAAAAGUUCAAAACUGCUACCCAGUCAUGGCUGAAGCACUAUCCAGGGGUCUGCAACACUAUUUUUUCAGUGUUUUGAGGAUUGAAUAACCUUGUUGCCC
This 218-nucleotide long non-coding RNA is filed under the name Vigna radiata. RNAcentral describes it as "long non-coding RNA (VRAD_LNC004332)". The record is from RNAcentral. Lineage: Eukaryota; Viridiplantae; Streptophyta; Magnoliopsida; Fabales; Fabaceae.